RNAcentral lists this ribosomal RNA (700 nucleotides) under Enterobacter cloacae. Its description in RNAcentral is "bacterial SSU rRNA". It matches the Rfam family "Bacterial small subunit ribosomal RNA", at positions 40 to 727 of the family's 1533-position model. Lineage: Bacteria; Pseudomonadati; Pseudomonadota; Gammaproteobacteria; Enterobacterales; Enterobacteriaceae. The record is from RNAcentral.
GGGAUGGCGCAGCUACACAUGCAGUCGAACGGUAGCACAGAGAGCUUGCUCUCGGGUGACGAGUGGCGGACGGGUGAGUAAUGUCUGGGAAACUGCCUGAUGGAGGGGGAUAACUACUGGAAACGGUAGCUAAUACCGCAUAACGUCGCAAGACCAAAGAGGGGGACCUUCGGGCCUCUUGCCAUCAGAUGUGCCCAGAUGGGAUUAGCUAGUAGGUGGGGUAACGGCUCACCUAGGCGACGAUCCCUAGCUGGUCUGAGAGGAUGACCAGCCACACUGGAACUGAGACACGGUCCAGACUCCUACGGGAGGCAGCAGUGGGGAAUAUUGCACAAUGGGCGCAAGCCUGAUGCAGCCAUGCCGCGUGUAUGAAGAAGGCCUUCGGGUUGUAAAGUACUUUCAGCGGGGAGGAAGGUGUUGUGGUUAAUAACCGCAGCAAUUGACGUUACCCGCAGAAGAAGCACCGGCUAACUCCGUGCCAGCAGCCGCGGUAAUACGGAGGGUGCAAGCGUUAAUCGGAAUUACUGGGCGUAAAGCGCACGCAGGCGGUCUGUCAAGUCCGAUGUGAAAUCCCCGGGCUCAACCUGGGAACUGCAUUCCAAACUGGGAUGCUUUAAACUUGUAUAGGGGGGUAGAAAUCCCUGUGUGGCACUGUCUAAUGUUCUAUAUCUUUUAGAGGUGAGGAAGUGAAAGGGGAUCU